UAUUGGGCAAUGGGCGCAAGCCUGACCCAGCAACGCCGCGUGAAGGAAGAAGGCCCUCGGGUUGUAAACUUCUUUUAUCAGGGACGAAACAAAUGACGGUACCUGAUGAAUAAGCCACGGCUAACUACGUGCCAGCAGCCGCGGUAAUACGUAGGUGGCAAGCGUUAUCCGGAUUUACUGGGUGUGAAGGGCGUGUAGGCGGGUCUGCAAGUCAGAUGUGAAAUCUCAUGGCUCAACCAUGGAACUGCAUUUGAAACUGUAGAUCUUGAGUGAUGGAGAGGCAGGCGGAAUUCCGUGUGUAGCGGUGAAAUGCGUAGAUAUACGGAGGAACACCAGUGGCGAAGGCGGCCUGCUGGACAUUAACUGACGCUGAGGCGCGAAAGCGUGGGGAGCAAACAGG
RNAcentral lists this ribosomal RNA (400 nucleotides) under uncultured bacterium. RNAcentral's name for it is "bacterial SSU rRNA". It matches the Rfam family "Bacterial small subunit ribosomal RNA", at positions 362 to 776 of the family's 1533-position model. The record is from RNAcentral.